Molecule: transfer RNA, 70 nt
Filed under: Macrostemum radiatum
Lineage: Eukaryota; Metazoa; Arthropoda; Insecta; Trichoptera; Hydropsychidae
Description: tRNA-His
Source: RNAcentral
AUUUAAUUAGUUUAAGAAAAAAUAUUGAUUUGUGGAGUCAAAGUUAUAGUUUAUACAUGUAUAUUAAAUU